UCACCAUCUCCACCACUACCACCACCAUCACCACUAACACUAUAAUCUUACCAUCUUGACUGUUAGCAUCUAAUCAUCUUGAGUGAGUCAAUCGAUCAGAACUUCGGAUUCUCCUGCCCCACCUUCCCAAGUGCAACACUUCACUCGGCUGCCUGUCCAUUUCCCCAUCUUCUGAAGCUGAGGCCCCUAGACCUUCCUCUGCAUGCUGAAACCUGAUCUCAUGAGGCAAGUGUCAUUACCACAGGCCAGCCAAGCAAGGAUAACUAAUUGACCUCAUCAGUAAACUACAGUGCUGGGACUGGAAUCCAGGACUGUCCAGUGUCCAGGGCCAUGUUUACAUCCUCUGUGGCAUGCUGCCUCCCUGAGCUACACCGGAGGUCCGUUCCCGAGUGUGUUUACUGUCUGGUCUGGACUCUUGCCCAUCUUCCUCAAAUUCCAUUUCCUAUCUCACACUGAUUAAUUUUGUAGAAAUUCUUCAUUCUUCUUGUGUAAGAACAUUCCCCCCUUAUUUUGGAGAUAGUGGUCUCAUUAUGUGGCCUUGGCUGGCUCCAAACUCUGUGUACACCAGGCUGGUCUUGACUUGAGGGCCUCCUGCCUCUACCUCCCAAAUUGCUGAGAUUACAGGCUGUGUCAUCAUAUCUGGUUUCUGACUCCUCUGUAUUUUUUUUUUCUAUGUCAGGAUUUUAUGUAGCCAAGGCUGGCCUCUGACUUGCUAUGUUCCAAGGAUAACCUUGAGUUCCUGAUCUUCCUUCCUGUCAAUUGCUGUGAUUACAUGUGUUUACCUGGGAUUACAUGUGUUCAUCUGGGAUUACAUAUGUGCAUCUGGGACCACAUGUGUGCAUCUGGAAUUGCAUGUGUUCUUCUGGGAUUACAUGUGUUCAUCUGGGAUUACACGUGUGUCUCUGGGAUCACAGGUGUGCAGCACUACUUUUUUUUGCAGUUUGGGUGAUGGAACCCAGAGCCUUGUGAAUGCUAGGCAAAUGAUCUACAACCUGAGGUCCACCAGCCUCACUGUGUUCUUUUGCUUUAAAAAAUAUUCUGUUUUCGGGAUGGCAUAGUGACAUGUCUCAAUUGUCAGUCGUCUCUAGACACAUUCCGGGCUACUGCCCUUGAUACAUGAUCUACCAGGUAGAAACAAGUCUUUAUACAAACAAUAAUAAAUUCACAUCCAUGUUGUGUGAACCUACAGUUGGCUGGGCUGAUGUGCUGUUACCUUGGCAACAAAGAAAAUAAACUGUGUUCUCAGAAAUACUCUCC
Molecule: long non-coding RNA, 1257 nt
Filed under: Cricetulus griseus (Chinese hamster)
Lineage: Eukaryota; Metazoa; Chordata; Mammalia; Rodentia; Cricetidae
Description: lncRNA (ENSCGRG00015036744.1)
Source: RNAcentral